GUGAAAAACGGAGGAUGCGCUGUGAAGGGCCCACGCCCUGGAUCUAGCUGGCGGGAAAGUGGAUAUCCGUCCCGGAGGAACUGAGAAAACCUGGGUAGGGGUAUCAUGGCAUAAAUCUAACAGGAUCUCAGUAUGGAGCCCUGGAUGAACUGCAACUCACUAUAUAAACCAGGCUGGCUUUGAAUUUAGAGAUCUGUCUGCAGGGAUGUACUGCCUUGUUUGGCUUUUUACAUGCAUACUAAGAUCUGAACUCAGGCCUUCAUGCUAACUUGACAAGUACUUUACAUUUUACCAAAUGAACCAUCUUCCCAGCCUCCGUCAUAUAUCAGGAUCGAACCAUUGGCCAGGCCGGCAUAGAUGUAAUUGUUUUCGUCAAGACACCAGCAACAGCUCCAGACAGGACGUCCAGUGUUGUAAGUCUGCACCACAGUAUUUGUAUCUAGGCUGCGGAGUUAGAAGAGAUCUUUACCACUACGGAUUAAGAAAAUCAUGUCUAUAAUGUUGAUAAUAUUUAAUAAUAAAAUCUUUCACAAAAUUGUA
Grammomys surdaster is the source of this 540-nucleotide long non-coding RNA. RefSeq lists it as uncharacterized. The record is from RefSeq and is a predicted model, not a curated record. The transcript has 3 exons. Lineage: Eukaryota; Metazoa; Chordata; Mammalia; Rodentia; Muridae.